RNAcentral lists this transfer RNA (76 nucleotides) under Chitinophaga cymbidii. RNAcentral describes it as "tRNA-Gly". It matches the Rfam family "tRNA". Rfam says of the family: Transfer RNA (tRNA) molecules are approximately 80 nucleotides in length. Their secondary structure includes four short double-helical elements and three loops (D, anti-codon, and T loops). Further hydrogen bonds mediate the characteristic L-shaped molecular structure. tRNAs have two regions of fundamental functional importance: the anti-codon, which is responsible for specific mRNA codon recognition, and the 3' end, to which the tRNAs corresponding amino acid is attached (by aminoacyl-tRNA synthetases). tRNAs cope with the degeneracy of the genetic code in two manners: having more than one tRNA (with a specific anti-codon) for a particular amino acid; and 'wobble' base-pairing, i.e. permitting non-standard base-pairing at the 3rd anti-codon position. Lineage: Bacteria; Pseudomonadati; Bacteroidota; Chitinophagia; Chitinophagales; Chitinophagaceae. RNAcentral also lists the same sequence under 1 other name. The record is from RNAcentral.
GCGGGAAUAGCUCAUUUGGUAGAGCAUCAGCUUCCCAAGCUGAGGGUGGCCGGUUCGAGCCCGGUUUCCCGCUCCA